Non-coding RNA from Prunus avium (sweet cherry), 305 nucleotides. Lineage: Eukaryota; Viridiplantae; Streptophyta; Magnoliopsida; Rosales; Rosaceae. The record is from RefSeq and is a predicted model, not a curated record.
UUCUUCAGAAAGCAUCUGGAGCACGGAAAAAUUCUGUACAAGAAAUGCAGAAAGUGGGAAAGUUGAAUACCAAAGUGAACGGACAAAGCUUCCAGCCUGUCUCUAGUUAGUGCUCAAAUAACAGAAAUGACUGCAGUUCAAGAUCACACUAAGACAAAUAACACAACUAGGAAGCAAGAGGUGAAGGCAUCGGUACAAGAGCUUGCUUCUCGAGCUGCUUCCCGAGUCAAGGAAGUAGCUGCGGAAAAGAUCACACCACCAAAUUCGGCAUAUCAAUUUGAGGUUUCUUGGCGAGGACUCUCUGG